AAAAUCCGCCGUUCUAGCUAAAGGCUAAUAGUACCGCAAGGCUUCGGCUGCGUGGAUAGAGCAGGUAAUCAGACUUCCAAGAAAAACCGCUAAGCUUCAGGUUAUAAAAACCCGUACCGCAAACCGACACAGGUAUCCGGGAAGAGGAUUCUAAGGUGCUCGAGUGAAUCAUGGCUAAGGAACUCGGCAAAAUGGCCCUGUAACUUCGGGAGAAGGGGCGCCAAUGGCAACAUUGGCCGCAGUGAAAAGGCCCAGGCGACUGUUUAACAAAAACACAUGGCUUUGCAAAAUCGAAAGAUGAAGUAUAAGGCCUGACACCUGCCCGGUGCUGGAAGGUUAAGAGGGGAUGUCAUCCGCAAGGAGAAGCAUUGAAUCGAAGCCCCAGUAAACGGCGGCCGUAACUAUAACGGUCCUAAGGUAGCGAAAUUCCUUGUCGGGUAAGUUCCGACCUGCACGAAUGGUGUAACGAUCUGGGCGCUGUCUCAGCCAUGAGCUCGGUGAAAUUGUGGUCCCGGUGAAGACGCCGGGUACCCGCAACGGGACGGAAAGACCCCAUGCACCUUCACUACAAUUUAACAUUGACAUUGGGUACAGGAUGUGUAGGAUAGGUGGGAGGCUUUGAAGCGGGUGCGCCAGCAUUCGUGGAGCCAACGUUGAAAUACCACCCUUUCUGUAUUCGGUGUCUAACUCCGCUAAGCGGAGGACAUUGUUUGAUGGGUAGUUUGACUGGGGUGGUCGCCUCCAAAAAGGUAACGGAGGCUUUCAAAGGUAAGCUCAAUACGCUUGGUAACCGUAUGAGGAGUGCAAUAGCAUAAGCUUGCUUGACUGUGAGGCAAACAAGCCGAGCAGGGUCGAAAGACGGAUAUAGUGAUCCGGUGGUUCUGCAUGGAAGGGCCAUCGCUCAAAGGAUAAAAGGUACGCUGGAUAACAGGCUGAUCUCCCCCAAGAGCUCAUAUCGACGGGGAGGUUUGGCACCUCGAUGUCGGCUCGUCACAUCCUGGGGCUGGAGAAGGUCCCAAGGGUUCGGCUGUUCGCCGAUUAAAGUGGCACGCGAGCUGGGUUCAGAACGUCGCGAGACAGUUCGGUCCCUAUCUGUUGUGGGCGUAGGAAUUUUGAGUGGGGCUGACCUUAGUACGAGAGGACCGGGUUGGACUAACCUCUAGUGAAUCUGUUGUUCCGCCAGGGGCAUUGCAGAGUAGCUACGUUGGGAAUAGAUAAGCGCUGAAAGCAUCUAAGUGCGAAACUAGCCACGAGAUGAGAAUUCCAUAUAGGGCCGUAGAAGACUACUACGUUGAUAGGCUAUAGGUGUAAAGCUGGUAACAGCAAAGCCGAGUAGUACUAAUAACCCU
This 1349-nucleotide ribosomal RNA is filed under the name metagenome. Its description in RNAcentral is "bacterial LSU rRNA". It matches the Rfam family "Bacterial large subunit ribosomal RNA", at positions 1537 to 2911 of the family's 2925-position model. The record is from RNAcentral.